This 206-nucleotide microRNA precursor is filed under the name Oryza sativa Indica Group (long-grained rice). Its description in RNAcentral is "MIR812 microRNA precursor family". It matches the Rfam family "MIR812 microRNA precursor family". The record is from Rfam by way of RNAcentral. Lineage: Eukaryota; Viridiplantae; Streptophyta; Magnoliopsida; Poales; Poaceae.
CAAAAAAACAAACCCUGGUUUCCGUGUCCAACGUUUGACCGUCCGUCUUAUUUGAAAAAACUAUAAAAAAAAUUAAAAAGAUAAGUUACGCAUAAAGUAUUAAUCAUGUUUUAUCAUCUAACAACAAUGAAAAUACUAAUUACAAAAAAUUUCAUAUAAGACGGACAGUCAAAUGUUGGACACGGAAACCCAGUGUUUGUCUUUUU